RNAcentral lists this ribosomal RNA (798 nucleotides) under uncultured archaeon. RNAcentral describes it as "bacterial SSU rRNA". It matches the Rfam family "Archaeal small subunit ribosomal RNA", at positions 80 to 879 of the family's 1478-position model. The record is from RNAcentral.
AAGAUACUGCUCAGUAACACGUGGACAACCUGCCCUUAGGUUGGGUAUAAACCCGGGAAACUGGGUAUAAUACCCGAUAGGUCUCGAUUGCUGGAAUGCAUCGAGAUUUAAAGCUCCGGCGCCUAAGGAUGGGUCUGCGGCCUAUCAGGUAGUAGUGGGUGUAGCGUACCUACUAGCCUACGACGGGUACGGGUUGUGAGAGCAAGAGCCCGGAGAUGGAUUCUGAGACACGAAUCCAGGCCCUACGGGGUGCAGCAGGCGCGAAAACUUUACAAUGCUGGCAACAGCGAUAAGGGAACCUCGAGUGCCAGGUUACAAAUCUGGCUGUCGAGAUGCCUAAAAAGCAUUUCAUAGCAAGGGCCGGGCAAGACCGGUGCCAGCCGCCGCGGUAACACCGGCGGCUCGAGUGGUAACCGUUAUUAUUGGGUCUAAAGGGUCUGUAGCCGGCCGGAUAAGUCUCUUGAGAAAUCUGGCAGCUUAACUGUCAGGCUUUCAGGAGAUACUGUCUGGCUCGAGGCCGGGAGAGGUGAGAGGUACUUCAGGGGUAGGGGUGAAAUCUUGUAAUCCUUGAAGGACCACCAGUGGCGAAGGCGUCUCACCAGAACGGACCUGACGGCAAGGGACGAAAGCUAGGGGCACGAACCGGAUUAGAUACCCGGGUAGUCCUAGCCGUAAACGAUACUCGCUAGGUGUCGGCCACGGUGCGACCGUUGUCGGUGCCGUAGGGAAGCCGUGAAGCGGGCCACCUGGGAAGUACGGCCGCAAGGCUGAAACUUAAAGGAAUUGGCGGGGGAGCAC